Molecule: ribosomal RNA, 320 nt
Filed under: uncultured Chaetoceros
Lineage: Eukaryota; Bacillariophyta; Thalassiosirophyceae; Chaetocerotales; Chaetocerotaceae
Description: partial Bacterial small subunit ribosomal RNA
Rfam family: Bacterial small subunit ribosomal RNA
Source: RNAcentral
ACAAGGUGCUGCAUGGUUGUCGUCAGCUCGUGCCGUGAGGUGUCAGGUUAAGUCCUAUAACGAGCGCAACCCCUGUCGUUAGUUGCCAGCGAGUCAUGUCGGGAACUCUAACAAGACUGCCGGUGCAAACCGUGAGGAAGGUGGGGAUGACGUCAAAUCAUCACGGCCCUUACGUCCUGGGCUACACACGUGCUACAAUGGCCGGUACAGAGAGCAGCCACUGGGCGACCAGGAGCGAAUCUACAAAACCGGUCACAGUUCGGAUUGGAGUCUGCAACCCGACUCCAUGAAGCUGGAAUCGCUAGUAAUCGCUGGUCAGC